This 468-nucleotide ribosomal RNA is filed under the name uncultured bacterium. Its description in RNAcentral is "partial 16S ribosomal RNA". It matches the Rfam family "Bacterial small subunit ribosomal RNA", at positions 28 to 507 of the family's 1533-position model. The record is from RNAcentral.
GACGAACGCUGGCUGCUUGCUUCACACUUGCAAGUCGAACGUCAAGGCCCUGCUUUUUUGGGGUGCUCGAGUGGCGAACGUUUGCGUAACCCUUGAGUCACCUGCCCUUCCCUUUGGGAUCACUUCAGGCCACUGUCGCUAAUACCGGAUUGGAGCUCCUGCUGCAUGGUGUGGGUUGUAACGUUUCGGCGGUUGGGUCUGGACUCGCGGCUGAUCAGCUUGUUGGUGGGGUAGUGGCUUACCAAGGCUUUGACGGGUAGCCGGCCUGAGAGGGUGACCGGCCAGAUAGGGACUGAGAGACGGCCAAGACACUUACGGGAGGAAGAAGGGGGGAAUAUUGAACAAUGGGCGGAAGCCGGAUGCAGCAACGCCGCGUGCGAGAUGACGGACUUAGGGGUGUAAACCGAUUUAGAAUGUGACGAAGCGUGAGGGACGAUAAUGGGGAAAGAAGGACCGCCAAAAUACGUA